This 494-nucleotide ribosomal RNA is filed under the name uncultured Oscillospiraceae bacterium. Its description in RNAcentral is "bacterial SSU rRNA". It matches the Rfam family "Bacterial small subunit ribosomal RNA", at positions 22 to 507 of the family's 1533-position model. The record is from RNAcentral. Lineage: Bacteria; Bacillati; Bacillota; Clostridia; Eubacteriales; Oscillospiraceae.
CGUCAGGAUGAACGCUGGCGGCGUGCUUAACACAUGCAAGUCGAACGGAGCACCCCUCGAAGGAGUUUUCGGACGAACGGAAGGGAAGUGCGUUAGUGGCGGACGGGUGAGUAACGCGUGAGUAACCUGCCUUGGAGUGGGGAAUAACAGAAUGGAAACAUCUGCUAAUACCGCAUGAAGCAGUUGGGCCGCAUGGCUCUGACUGCCAAAGAUUUAUCGCUCUGAGAUGGACUCGCGUCUGAUUAGCUAGUUGGCGGGGCAACGGCCCACCAAGGCGACGAUCAGUAGCCGGACUGAGAGGUCGGCCGGCCACAUUGGGACUGAGACACGGCCCAGACUCCUACGGGAGGCAGCAGUGGGGAAUAUUGGGCAAUGGGCGCAAGCCUGACCCAGCAACGCCGCGUGAAGGAAGAAGGCUUUCGGGUUGUAAACUUCUUUUCUCAGGGACGAAGAAAGUGACGGUACCUGAGGAAUAAGCCACGGCUAACUACGUG